AGUGAACGCUGGCGGUAGGCCUAACACAUGCAAGUCGAACGGCAGCACAGUAAGAGCUUGCUCUUACGGGUGGCGAGUGGCGGACGGGUGAGGAAUACAUCGGAAUCUACUUUUUCGUGGGGGAUAACGUAGGGAAACUUACGCUAAUACCGCAUACGACCUACGGGUGAAAGCAGGGGAUCUUCGGACCUUGCGCGAUUGAAUGAGCCGAUGUCGGAUUAGCUAGUUGGCGGGGUAAAGGCCCACCAAGGCGACGAUCCGUAGCUGGUCUGAGAGGAUGAACGACAAAAAGGGAAAGGAGACAGGGCCCAAACUCAUACGGGAGGCAGGAGGGGGGAAAUUUGGAAAAGGGGGGAAAGCCUGAUCCAGCCAUACCGGGGGGGGGAAGAAGGCCUUGGGGUUGUAAAGCCCUUUUGUUGGGAAAGAAAAGCAGAAGGUUAAAACCCCGCUGUUUUGACGGUACCAAAAGAAAAAGCACCGGCUAACUUGGU
RNAcentral lists this ribosomal RNA (491 nucleotides) under uncultured bacterium. RNAcentral's name for it is "partial 16S ribosomal RNA". It matches the Rfam family "Bacterial small subunit ribosomal RNA", at positions 29 to 506 of the family's 1533-position model. The record is from RNAcentral.